UGGUGCUCACCCAGUGCCUCCUCCUCUUUCUGGUGCUCCUGCAAGCCCAGGACACGCAGCCUGCUCCAGCUGGAGGGCAGGGAGCAGAUGUGGCCAGAGAGAGGGCUUUUCCACCUCCUCAGGAGGAUCCUGUGCUGGUUCCCGGCUUGUAUCACUCGGAGCAAGAGGCUGAAGAAGAAGCCAUGACUCAGGCUCCUGAAUUGCUGAACAUGUACUAUAUUCUAGGGAUUACAGUAGUCUCGUGUGUGCUGCUGCUUUGGGUAAUUGUGUGUUGCAUAGCCAUGUCAUGGCUGCUGGAGAAAGACAAGGUGCCCCAGAGAUGUGGAGCAGCACUGGGACAAGCUGAUACUGGCUGUCUGGAAAAGCCAAGAUCAAAGAAGAGGUAGAGGUGAGGCAGAGUCAGAAGGACCAGGAUGCAGAUCUCCCAACUCUGCCCACUUGUUUCAGCUGCUCUCUGGCUGGUGCUGCCUCUUCACAGGCUACUGGGUAUCUGUGGAUUCACCUCAUCCCACAUCAUCCCAGUGUCCCAGUAUCAACAGGGAUAUUGUGCC
Molecule: long non-coding RNA, 551 nt
Organism: Ficedula albicollis (Collared flycatcher)
Lineage: Eukaryota; Metazoa; Chordata; Aves; Passeriformes; Muscicapidae
Exons: 4
Source: RefSeq, a predicted model, not a curated record